RNAcentral lists this long non-coding RNA (992 nucleotides) under Zea mays. RNAcentral's name for it is "long non-coding RNA (ZMAY_LNC003810)". The record is from RNAcentral. Lineage: Eukaryota; Viridiplantae; Streptophyta; Magnoliopsida; Poales; Poaceae.
UUAUCAGAGUGACCAUCUAUGUUGGCAACGAAUGCUGCACAAACUGAACCAGCUAUGUAUACUGCUGCCUGAAGAUAGAAGAAUGCAAACAUUUUUUUAUACGGACGGACGGACCAGACAUUGAAGAUAAAAAAAAAUUCAGAACAAAAUUUGCUACAUUACUGCAAUGCUGAACGUUAACUUGUUUUGUAGUCACAAAGACACUUUUUGUUGAAAAAUAAAGGGCAUACCUCAGCAUUUGGCAGCAGCAGUUGCAAUGCUGAACGCAUUAGUGGACACACACACAAGGAGCAGCCAGAGGAGUGAAACUGAUGAUGACAGGAUGAUUGUAAUUAUGCCAGAUCCAAAUACAAGUACCUUGCCUAGGCUUCAAUGACUCCCAUUCAAAAUAUAGAGAGAUAAUAUAACCUUCGUAUUCUGUGCAUAGCAAAAAAAAUCCCAAUGCAUUGCUCUAACUAUGACAUAAAGGUUUCUAACUAUGGUGGUGCACAUGAUCCAAUGAGCAAGUGAGAGAGUAAAUGACUGGUGAGUGGUUGGUGUUUCAACAUCAAGCAGCAUGAACAGAAGGCAAUGUGUCUGCCCUUCGGCCUUUGUCUCCUCCUUCAAAGCCGGAGAGUCUUACUCCCACGGAUGCAGGCGCCCUCGAUUCUGUGCAUUAAACAAUACACAAUUCGUCGGAUCUAGACACGACACAAGAUGACCAUGACAAUAAGGAUUCAAAGGAGGACCUAGGUGUCUAAAUACCUUGGUGUAUGGGAGUCAAAACAGAGGUGUACCAGCCCAAUUGAAUGAAAAUCAGCCACCAGCCCACCAGACAAUAGUUUUAGGUUCCACGUUCUUUCAGAUUUUCACAUGAAUUGAUAAUAAAGAGCAAAUACAUAUUGCCUUGUUUAGGAUUAUUGGACACACUGACGUGGAGAAUACCCUGCACCCUUUGUAACCUCAGGUAAAAAAAGAAGGAAAACAAAAAAACUAUUAGUAAUGAAAAUGUG